GACGAACGCUGGCGGCGUGCUUAACACAUGCAAGUCGAACGGAAAGGCCCUGCUUUUGUGGGGUGCUCGAGGUGCGAACGGGUGAGUAACACGUGAGUAACCUGCCCUUGACUUUGGGAUAACUUCAGGAAACUGGGGCUAAUACCGGAUAGGAGCUCCUGCUGCAUGGUGGGGGUUGGAAAGUUUCGGCGGUUGGGGAUGGACUCGCGGCUUAUCGGCUUGUUGGUGGGGUAGUGGGUUACCAAAGCUUUGACGGGUAGCCGGCCUGAGAGGGUGAGCGGGAACAUUCGGACUGAGACACGGACCAGACCCCUACGGGAGGGAGCAGUGGGGAAUAUUGCACAAUGGGCGGAAGCCUGAUGCAGCAACGGCGCGUGCGGGAUGACGGCCUUCGGGUUGUAAACCGCUUUCGCCUGUGACGAAGCGUGAGUGAAGGUAAUGGGUAAAGAAGCACCGGCUAACUACGUG
This 468-nucleotide ribosomal RNA is filed under the name uncultured bacterium. Its description in RNAcentral is "partial 16S ribosomal RNA". It matches the Rfam family "Bacterial small subunit ribosomal RNA", at positions 28 to 507 of the family's 1533-position model. The record is from RNAcentral.